GUGCCAGCCGCCGCGGUAAUACCGGCAGCCCGAGUGAUGGCCGAUCUUAUUGGGCCUAAAGCGUCCGUAGCUGGCUGCGCAAGUCCGUCGGGAAAUCCACUCGCCCAACGAGUGGGCGUCCGGCGGAAACUGUCCGGCUUGGAGCCGGAAGAUCCGAGGGGUACGUCCGGGGUAGGAGUGAAAUCCCGUAAUCCUGGACGGACCGCCGGUGGCGAAAGCGCCUCGGAAGAACGGACUCGACAGUGAGGGACGAAAGCUAGGGUCUCGAACCGGAUUAGAUACCCGAGUAGUCC
RNAcentral lists this ribosomal RNA (293 nucleotides) under uncultured bacterium. Its description in RNAcentral is "partial 16S ribosomal RNA". It matches the Rfam family "Archaeal small subunit ribosomal RNA", at positions 455 to 747 of the family's 1478-position model. The record is from RNAcentral.